GACGAACGCUGGCGGCGUGCUUAACACAUGCAAGUCGAACGGAAAGGCCUCUUUCGGGUGGUACUCGAGUGGCGAACGGGUGAGUAACACGUGAGUAACCUGCCCUUGACUUUGGGAUAACUUCAGGAAACUGGGGCUAAUACCGGAUAGGAGCUCCUGCUGCAUGGUGGGGGUUGGAAAGUUUCGGCGGUUGGGGAUGGACUCGCGGCUUAUCAGCUUGUUGGUGGGGUAGUGGCUUACCAAGGCUUUGACGGGUAGCCGGCCUGAGAGGGUGACCGGCCACAUUGGGACUGAGAUACGGCCCAGACUCCUACGGGAGGCAGCAGUGGGGAAUAUUGCACAAUGGGUGGAAGCCUGAUGCAGCAACGCCGGGUGCGGGAUGACGGCCUUCGGGUUGUAAACCGCUUUCGCUCAUGACGAAGCGUUGUGUGACGGUAGUGGGUAAAGAAGCACCGGCUAACUACGUG
This 467-nucleotide ribosomal RNA is filed under the name uncultured bacterium. RNAcentral describes it as "partial 16S ribosomal RNA". It matches the Rfam family "Bacterial small subunit ribosomal RNA", at positions 28 to 507 of the family's 1533-position model. The record is from RNAcentral.